GACUGGUAUGGCGUAUCACACCAUGACGUUGUUGAUUCCUUUUCUAGAACAGCGCUCCGUGUCAUGUUUGAUUCCUUACAUCGCCUAAUAACUUAGUUUUUAUAUAUUUAUUUCAUUCGAAGCAAUAAUUUGUGUAAGCGCGAUAAAUUUAACGUGCAGUGGUUUGGAAACAGUAGGUCACGUGACUGCCCACAGCCGUUGGCCCAAGCCCCGCGUGAUAACAGACAUCGCGAGAUCUCCGGAAAGAGCCGAGCGCAGCGGAGGAGAAGAGCCGGAAAAAGCCGAUGAUGCUCUUGAAUGCCGCUGCCCCUUUUCAACAUGGCUGCUGUAUGUGCUGUGCUCAGUUGCGCUCCGACUGGAGUCUGACUCGACUCUCGACAACUUAGUGCCUCACAAUACUGUCUCUGAACAGCUAAAAGCUAGGGGGAAAUUAUUCCGUCGGAGCGGUUUUUAAAUCUCCCUUAUUCUUGUGGGGUUUUUAAAAUAUAUAUAUAUAUUAAAAAAAACAACAACAGAACGAGAAAUCUAAUCAAGCAUUGCGUCUGGGGCCUUUUUCCCUUUUUGCUUUUUUACAUGAAAAAAACAACAACAACAGUACAGCUGCUACAACAUUUAGGAUCCAUCAACAAUUUCCAAUGGUUUGACUUUGGCACUUUAAGCUUUUUUUAUUUCUUUUUUUUUCUUCUUUUUUUUCUCAUUUUCUUUCCUUCUUCAUGAACAAUGUGUGAAAACUGCGCCGAGCUGGUUGAGGUGCUGAAUGAAAGUAAGUAUUAUUGUUAUUAUGAUUAUUAUUAUUAUUAUUAGCAUCACCAUUAUUAUUAUUAUUAUUAUUAUUAUUAUUAUUAUUGUGUGUGUGCGCGCGCAUUAAAAUUAAAGUUAGUCCAGAUCUUUGGCUUGCAGUAACUUCACUAUCUAUGUCUGAGUAGGGUGGGUAGACUUCUUUUUUUGCAAUCAUGCAAUGUAUAUAUCAUAUAUUAUUGCAAUUAGACACAUAUACACAUAUAUGUGAUGUUCAGUUUUGUCUAUUGUAGGCCCAAAGGAGAUGCAAAGCAUUUGAUCUGAAUGUCAUGUUGCAUGCAUGUCAGUGAUCCGGUUUGAUCCAAAUCUGGCCUCUCCUGUCCAUACAUCAGUCAGGAAAAACGUGCUCAUGAUCAUGUUUUACUUUAGUAAUUAUUGCACAAAUCAGCAGUUUCAUGCUGCACAAGACGAAUCCUGACCCUGCCAGUGCAACGCAGUGUCUUUAACACCCAGCCUCUCAUUUCCUUUAGUUCAUUUAAUCCACAUCACUGCAUGUUAGCGUUACCUUCCAUUAAACUCGUGUUUAUUAUUAUUAUUAUUAUUAUUAUUAUUAUUUUUAUUAUUAUUUUCUAACUCGCAUUCAUCCUAAUGCGGCCACAUGCACCUUUAUCCUUAAGCACACAAAAUAUCAAUUCGCUUUUAUUUACCCUAGCCAGCAUUAGCCAUAGCAGCAACAUCACCGUUGCUGUUUUUCUUUUUUUGUUGUUGUUGUUGUUUUUUUGUGUGUUUUUUUUUAUACGUUGUCAUUACCACACGGUUGUUUUUACAGCACACUAAACACUAUAAAACACUUACAACCGUUUACAACAACUAAAUCACUCAUCAUGUGUUAAAUAUCUAAGAAAAAAAUUGUAGUUUGGUGGUUUUGACAACAAAAAUGACAGCUAGCCUGUGUGUGUGUGUGUGUUUUCGCUAGCUUGACUAGCAAUUAGCUAGUCUUCUUUGCUAGCAGUGAACCGCUAAUGGGAUGGAAAUAAUCACCUCCCGCUGGUUGUAGGGAGGUGAAAUGUCUGAAAACACGUCCCGUGUCGUUUAAAAAGAAAUAAAUCAUAAAAUUAGACUGGUGUUUUGUUGUCAUGUUUAGCCACAUGGUGCAAGUGCUAGCUAGCGAACGAACUCGUUAGCAGUGGAAGCUAACGGAGCUUGUUGCUAGCAGCAACUGUUUUGGACUUGCGUUUGUUCCAGAGUUUAAUGUCUUUACCUGACACUGUGUUGAAUUAUCAUAACGUUAAUGAUUUAACCUGCUGUUUGUUUAUUUUUAACCAAACACGUCGUUGUGUUGGUGCUGUCUGUUUGUUUGCUAGCUGUGCUGGUAUUUGUUAGCCUGCUAGCUAACAUAGUUGUGCUUCAUAGGCACAAGUACAAAGGAGCUGAUGGGCCUCUAUAAUGAGAAACUUUAACAAUAGCUGAUUGUGUUUGUUUGCAUUUGAGUUUAGUUCUGAGGUAAAAUUGUGGUCCAUGUCAAAAUACCAUUGCAUUGACAAAAAGGCUUAUUAUUUUUUAUUUUUAAACCCCUCCCACACUUUUUUCUUUUCUUUUCUUUUUUUUUUUCUUUCUUUAAACACUAGAACAGGAGAACAGAGUGUAGUAAAGGUUGAACUGGUGAUAAAGUAGUGAUAAAUCUAUCCUCUGAGAUAAUAUCGAGCUUCAAAAAUCAUUUAACCAUCGAUACAUUUGAUAUAAACAUGACUAUUUAGUUUCCUGCUCGAGCUCCGAGUCAUGCCCAGUGCGAGACUCUCCCGGGUCUGAGUUCGGGAUUCACACGAGUACCCGAAUCGUCGUUGGACUACUCACAAGAACGUCAUCGGAAGUCCUAACUUUAUUAUCUUUUUAUGUGUACGCGUACAGCGCUCGCUCGCUUAGCUUAGGUUUCCAUUCUUGUGCCGAGCAUCUGAAACGAGGCUUUGAGCGUGCCGAUACUUUUAAUCCGUGGUGGGAAUUGACUAGCAAAAUUUAAUCCGAACGACUGAAUGCGUGGAUUUUCCGACCGCCGACUACGGGGGAAAAAAACAACCCCCAGAGAAAGCGCUCCAUCUACUCCGUAACCCGGGACGGUCUCUUCAACCCCAAGUGACCUCAAAUCAACACGGCGGAAACGAGGCCCGAGGGCGCCAAUACUUUAUCAUCUCGGUUUUUAGCGCGAAUAACGGAUGUCAGUUAGGGCGUACGACGUCGAACUCGGCACUCUGAAGGAAUACGACUUCAGAUUUGUAUAAUAUUUCCGUAUUUGCCGUAAUAAAUCCACGAUCAAAUGUUUUAAAAUCAAAUGUGUUACUUUGUUUUUUUUUUUUGUUUGUUGUUUUUUUUUUUUUAAAAUACUCAUCCCAGUGAUGAAACGAAGGACUCAAACCUGUAACUCGGACUAGGAGAAACCAAACAAAGCUCCCUUUCCGUACCGGACUCCGGCACCGUAACUCAGACGGUCUCCUCAACCCCGAGUUCAGCGAGGGACGUCAAAUCAAAAUGGCCGCUCACGGCAUCGGCGCUAAACACUUCUCGGAUGUUAAACGAGUUAUUUACUGUAUUAGCGUUAGCUCAGUCGACACGUUACAUCUAUAACACUGACUCUACGCGUCACCGUUCUGCGGAGGAAGAUACACAUCACCCAUCACGGCUAGCUUGUUGCUAUGAAAAGGCGAAUGGAAUGGACGUGUUUUGUUUACGGCUCGGACGCGUGAAGGUCAGGAAAUUACACCGCUCCGAAUUCACACUUCCUAGUUUUGGUUUAGUUCACGCUAACGUGAGUACAUUUAAAGAUGAAAUCAUCUUUUUUUUAAUUCCCUGCCUCAGGACUGUCACGUGAGCCCCGCGAUUCCAAAAUGGUGGGAGCUCGUCGGUCUCGUUGCGAUCCUGCUUCCUGUGUAGUUUAAUUUCGUGUUUGGGUGAAUUUUUUUUUUGUAUGGUUGACGGAGCGACUGUGGGGAAUGAGAAGUUAACGUUUAUGUUGUGAAAUCAAACAAAGAUGGGGAGAGGUCAAGGUCAUGGAUCAGACGCUCUGUUGUUCUGUUUUAUUGCGAACAGGAAACUAUUUUUCGGGGGGGGGGGGGGGGGGGGUCUGGAAACAGCGAAGACUUUUCUGAACUUUGCUGAAUAUUUGAAAACAUUUUAAUGAUCGGAAUCCCGUACAUCGUUACGUGCCUGCGGUGACGGCGUGCUACACGUUCGAUUUGUGCUGGAAUUCUGCUCUUAGGUUUUAACCGAAAUCGCACGGGACUUCACUCUGCCUCAUCGCUAAUGUUUUACGAAUUUCUACAACCAUACGGAAAUUACCUGCUAACACAGCUAAGCGCAACAUUCGCAUGAAGCCCGGCACCAUCUGUGUGUGAGCGAGCGAGCGAGAGAGACACACACACACACACACACACACACGUACAUGUCUUUGUGUUGAGUGACAGGCCCAUGUGUCCACAUGUAGUUUGAUCUUUGACCUCCAAAUCUGAUAUAUGGGCAGCUAUCUCCUCCUCGUGUCGCCGUGUGUGUGUGUGUGUGUGUGUGUGUGUGUGUGUGUGUGUGUGUGUGUGUGUGUGUGUGAGACAUGGAUACAACUAAUAGGAGACGAGACAGAUGUGCCGGUUGUAUGUAUCUUACGCUGGGAGGGGCAGAUCAGGCUUUUCACCACGUGGAGGAAGCUUGACAGCGAGGCAUGUGUUGACUCGCACACCGCGCUCUCUCUCUCUCUCUCUCUCGCUCUUUCGCUCUCUCUCUCUCUCUCACACACACACUUUACAAUCAGUGAAACGAGUUCAUUGGAUUUAUUUCCCCAGCGCCCUGCACAAUACGCUGUAUUUGUAUUGAAACGGUAUCAGAGAUGGAUUUCAGCGUCGUCUCUUACUGUGUGAAAGGUCCGGAUUCUCGUCCGCUUUUAAUCAUCUGUGUGUCUGACCUGGUUACCAUAACGACAGCACCCGUAUAUGCCGGUAACACCCGCCCCCCCCCCUGCAAAAUAUAAACCCGCUUACGUCACGAUGGAGUUAAACGUUUCCCGCUUCGUCCGCGGCAUCUGUUCGAACGUCGCCGUCUCCCGGACGGCGUUACGCAGCUCCAGGCGUAAAAGAUGACGGCGUUAGGAUCGGAACUGCAAGUCUGACGUUUUAGACGCGCACGGACGGUUCGAAACGGAACGAGACGUUAAUAAUCGUGUACAGCGCGUAAAGAGGAAGCCGAGAGGCGCGUAUUUACUUUGAUCUUGACCGGAUAGCGCUGACCGAUGACCGCGGGACAGGAGGAGACUCUUUAACUUCUGCGUCAGACAGAGACGGCUUCCGUUCUUCGUUCUUCAUUCUUUAUUAACGUCGCUACGAGAGAAAUGUGUCGCGUGCCGCUCGUAGCGAGGGCCGAACCACUUUUAUUAAAACAAAGAAGACGUGUAGGCCGGGAAUAAACCGUGCAACAGCUCACACUCGGUCAGUACGUUCACAUGGACAACAAUAAUCCGAUAUUAACCCGAUUAAGACCAGCAUGUAAACAGAGAUUACCGACGACCUUAAUCCGAUUAAAGUCAUACCCGGAAUGAAGACGUGUGGAGUACUCCUGUUCCAGACGUUCCAGACACGUACACACCUCAAUCGCACUAUUAACGUCGUGUGGGAGUUUCCACCGCAUCGUGCGACAGGACACGUACGCAACACGGCAGCGCUCGGCCGUUCGACGGCGGACAAGAGAGCACGGCCGCGUCCCAAACCGCGUACUUGCCUCCAGUAUAGCAGGUGAAAUGCAUGUAUUUCGGUAAGUACGCGGUUCGGGACGCAGCCCACGGCUUCAAGCGGUCGUCUGUUCGCACGUACGGCACGACUAAUAAUCAACCGCACCCGAAGCUUUCGUAAAAAUAAAAACACCCGAAACCGUAUACGGUCCCAUAACGAAGACCGACCGUAUGAAGAUGCGUGAAAUUCUGGCGGGGACGGCGUGGCGCGGGGAUAUAACGACACGUGAAACGUGAAUAUGAAGCGAGUGUUCUAAAAGCGACUCAUGUAAACACCUUAAUCAGAAUAUCGUCUUAUUCAGAAUAAGGUCGACGAUUAUGUUACUGCUGUCCGUGUAAACGUAGUGAAUGACACUGCGAAAUCUUUGGGGGGGGCGGGGCGGGGGGAGUCCCGUCGCUGCAGUUUAGUGGAAGAAUUGAGUUGUUUUUGUGUGCGUGAUUAAUAGGGCUGAGUCGUGCCAGAGACACGAACUAACAAAACCGGAAAAGGUUUUAAUUUGUUGUGAAGGAUGUACCUCCUUUUAAUCGCCGUGUUUCUCCAAAGCGUUCAUCUUUUCAAUCAACAAGCCUACGUGUGCAGACUCCGUCUCGGAGUCGAAUGCAUCUAAUGUAGUUAAAACGCUGUUUCUAUGGUAACGUCUUUACAAACCCGACGCUCGACCGGAAACUAAAGCGCGGCGUUAAUUACCGUACUGUAUCGAUAAGAAUGUUUUUUAAAAUGCUGUAAAUGUUCAAAACGGCCUUUCAGGAGAGGAUGAGAGUGGAGUCAUGGAGGAGGAUUUGUCGGUGCGUUUUACACGUUGCGGAGGAACGUUCCGGACGGGGACUUUUCAGACGGACCGAGUAGAGGUCUCGCAGCCGAGUCGUUACCCGUGCUGUUUUUUUAAAAUUAUUAUUAUUAUUAUUCUAAUAGAAGACGAUACGGACGGAAACGAAGGAUAAAAAGAGAGAGCCCCCGAGCCCGGCUCCGGCCUCCGCCUCUCAACGAGGGCAAAAAAAAUUGAAACUUUUUUUUUUUUUUGUAUUUUUUUUUGCAUGCGUAAAAAAGAAAUGAUUACAACGAUAAUGUCGAAACAAGCGCAGCGUGAGGCGGCGGUUUCAGCGCCGUGACCUGUCGUCCGUCCGCGUGAGGAGAAAGGAGAAAGGGGAGGAUUUGAAAGCCGGCCGAGGUCGAGGCCGUCCAGCUGCUCGCGUGAACCUGAGAACCUUACCAAAGUCCAGCGACUCCCCUGUUGUCAUGGUAACCGUGAGCCGGGCCUUCACUGCCGCUCUUGUUGAAGUGUUUGGGAUAAAUCUCUCUCUCGCUCUCUCCCGCGUAUCUGACCGCUCAUUACACAGAAAGCAGGUGAAGAUGUUUUAGAGAUCUGCGAUGACUGCUUUCUUUUUAUAGUUUUUUUUUUUUUAUUUAUUAAAAAAUAUAUAUAUGUAUUUAUUUUUAUCCCUCCUGUUAUUAUGUUACGGGUCACCGUGACCCAUUUCCACAUUUGAGGCGUCUGAAAUGCGGUUAAUCUCUCACUUUCUCUUUGAACUAUUUCGACGUUCCUCAUUUAGGGUCAUGAACUGGUAUGAAAUAUUUCUCCUGAGGAAAGCGGUUAUAAAGGUUUACUGUUUUAAGCCGUUCUUUGCUGUUUAUUAUGUCAGUUUGACCCCUAACAUAAUGGAUGUAACUAUCCCCCCCCCCCCCCCCCCCCCCCCCCCCUUCCAACGUAAUAUGAGGGUUAAAUGGCACUGAUUUACCGGUUACCGUAGCAACUGUAAGAAAACUUGCUGACUCUAUUGUACAGUACGGGCCCGAAGGGAGACGGCCGUCCUGACGCUGCCUUUUUUGGAUUGUGUUUUUUUCGAACGAAACACACCGGGAUGGUGACGAGAACUCUGGGAUAUCUGCUGUAGCCUGUUUACUCAGAAAUCCCACUGACGCCAACUGAAAUCAGACCUAAUCUCACCCACACACACACACUGUACUCUGCAUCGUCUGCUUCAGCUCUCUGUGUGUGUGUGUGUGUGUGUGUGUGUGUGUGUGUUUCAGGAAUGUGUACUCUCACCCACACACACUAUAUUCUGCAUCUUUCUCACCACUAAGCACUCUGCCUCUGGUGUGUGUGAGACAGAGAGGAUUUGUGGUUUAACACACACUGUGAUGUGUGUGUGUGUGUGUGUGUGUGUGUGUGUGUGUGUGUGUGUGUUCAGCACACAUCAGGAACGUGCACGGCUAUGCAAACUCUGGAAACUUGAUUUUUCUUGGGGUACAAUCAUAAAUGAACGUCAAGGUUGUUUAAAAAAAAAAAAAAGUCCCUGAAAUCCCAGGAGUGUGUGUGCUGAUGAUGUCAGUUUUAGUCAUAUCAAGUACACACACACACGCGCGCACACACACACACAGACGAGGACGUUAAAAAAAAAAAUAGAAAAACUUACUGUGGCAUAAUGUGCCAAAACAUCGACCAAGCAACACCAGGUCUCUCACACACUUAUCUUAUCAGAAGGACAAAACAGUAAUGCAGAGCAGAGAACAACGCUGUAGUGGUAUUUCUGGCUCACUGCUGUAGCGCGUCACGCCUCAUUAACUGGGUUAUUCUGAAAGGAUUUAUAUGGGAAAAGUCUUCAAAGUAUCCGAUGUGAAACAUUGUGUUUAGGAAGGCGGGGAGACUGAAUAACAGCAGGUUAAAGGCAUUGGGAGGAAAGGUAUGAAGGCAGCAGGACAGAAGGGCAGCAAGGAAGAAAAGUAGAAAGGCAGCAAGGAAGAAAGGCAGCAGGGCAGAAUGGCAGGAGGAGGAAAGGUGGAAAGGCAGCAGAACAGAAUGGCAGUAGGAAGAAAGGUAGAAAGGCAGCAGGGCAGAAUGGCAGUAGGAAGAAAGGCAGCAGGGCAGAAUGGCAGUAGGAAGAAAGGCAGCAGGGCAGAAUGGCAGUAGGAGGAAAGGCAGCAGGGCAGAAUGGCAGUUGGAAGAAAGGCAGCAGGGCAGAAUGGCAGUAGGAAGAAAGGUAGAAAGGCUUCAGGGCAGAAUGGCAGUAGGAAGAAAGGUAGAAAGGCUUCAGGGCAGAAUGGCAGUAGGAGGAAAGGUAGAAAGGCUUCAGGGCAGAAUGGCAGUAGGAGGAAAGGUAGAAAGGCAGCAGGGCAGAAUGGCAGUAGGAGGAAAGGUAGAAAGGCAGCAGGG
Ictalurus punctatus (channel catfish) is the source of this 8652-nucleotide long non-coding RNA. The record is from Ensembl. NCBI's taxonomy places the organism in Eukaryota, Metazoa, Chordata, Actinopteri, Siluriformes, Ictaluridae.